CAAGGCGCCGCUGGCUCGAGGCCGCUGCCUCGCCUGCCGCGGAGAAGGCAGCGGCUGCGGAAGAAUAGCCCAGAGCUAUCGAAGUUUCUGCACACGAUAAGAACAACAAAAUACAAAAUUACGCAAAUAAUUUGAAGGCGAUUGGAAUGUCGCUGUUAAUAAGAAGUUAAAGAGGAUAAACAGGAAGAAGAAGCAGAGGCAAGCAAAUUAGUGAAGUAAUUAACGAGUACCGGGAGCUUACAUGAGCGUGCAGAUAGGCUGUCAGAAAUGUCAAUCAGACAUUUUAGUGUGUGGCGCUGUCUCCUCGGUCCAACUCAACUGAAGAGAGUGCAUGCCAUUUUGGCACCGUUCACAUCUACAUGGCAGAGGAAUGCUUUGCAUCUACUGGUUAUUGAGAAAUCCGAGGUUGUGACUUCUUCACUCUGGCAUUAUAUCUUUUAUUUCUCUCAUCGUGUAGCACUUCUUUUGGAAUUGAAAGCUUAUAUAUUGAUUACUCUAUACCACAGUAGUGAACUAUAAAUAUGAUUACCUUAUAAUAUCAACCUGUAGAUACAGGGUUCUUAUGUUUAUGAUAUACAUGGGAAUAACUAUCUAACUUAUCUGGCAGGAGUAUGUUGUACAGCUUUAGGUACGUACAAGUGCAAUCUUCAGAAUGCUAUUAUCAUGGUUGAUUUACUACGGAAAUUUUCUCUUCGGGAUAAUAUGUGCUCACCAUUGCACUAUGUGGCUACAGGAGUAUUGUUUGAAGUCUAUUUCCACUCCUCUUUCGUGAACUAUUCACAAUGUCUUCAGGUUGGUAAAGCAUCCAAAUUGGGAAGUUUUGUGUUAGUACUUUUAAUGUAUGUAGUUUUUUUUUUGGUCGAAAUGGUUAAUGUUUGUAGUUAUGCAUCACAGGAAUGUUCUGAAUGAACGGCAAACAAAAUUGUUCUGGUUGACUGGAUUCGCUAUGGGAUCGUCGCUAUAAGAGCUAGAGUAACCUUCAACAUUCAAAAUAUGUAUGAUAGGGGAAAUAAAAAUUGUAUGAUCAGAAGAUUCUACUUGCGCCCAUUCUAAAGCUGAAGAUAACAUGUUGUUGGCCCUUUAUAUUGGUAUUUUUUCCUGGUUGUUUUAGUGAAGUACGAGAGUUCCACAACUUGCAGUUAGUUUUGGUUCUCUGUUUGAAAGAAUUUUUCUUGUGUGUGCAAGGCAGAAGCAUAUAUUUUGACGCACUCUGUUUUAAACUUAUGUGGGAACUACAGACCACAUGUCAGAAUUCUUUUCUUGGUUGUUGAAAAUGCGCCAUUCUUAGAACCUAUUUUAUGGCUUCCAUGUUUAUUUUUAUGUUCGCUGACAAUUUUAUAACCUUGUUGCUUCAAAAAAAAUAUGUUUGUCUACCAUUACGAGCCAUCCACAGUAUAACAAAUGGUAGGGAUUUAUGUGGCCGUGAGAGGUCUUAACAAAUGAUCACCUGGGGAGUGCUAAUCAAUUAAUAGCUUUUGUAUACAGAUUCAAAGGGGUAAUGCUUAUGCUAUUUUUAAUUCUCUAUGUUUUGUGAUCGUGUUUUGAGAGAAGAAAACCAGAAAUAGGAAAAACAUGCUUCUGCUGUUUCGAGUUGGUAAUCAAGAAAUUGGUAGUUAGUUAAAUUAAUAACCAGGAAUUGCUCUUCCCUUGGAAUGUUCAGAUAAAACCACUACUUACGGUGGUGCAGAUCUUCUUCAAAUAUUCGCUCUUAUGGAGCAAGGUAAGUGUGUUGGAUGGUUCAUCUUUGUCUAGAUUAGGCAACUUAAUUACAUAGCCGAUUAAGACUGACCAAUAUUCUUUUUUGAUGUGGUUGGUUCAUGUCCUUGAUUGCAUGGAAUAUCCAACGUUUCUUCUGUUCCAGAUUUUCUAAUGGGCUCUUUCUGGCUGUAGCUCAAGAAUUAAAUAUUUUAGGUUGUAUGUUUUACCUCAGGAACUGAAUAUUUUGGAGCUCGAGAGAUCAACAAGAAGUUCAGAGUCAAGAAUCUUGAUAACAACAUGCCUGAAAAUUCUACCUCAACAAAUAGGUGUAGCAGUGCACUUAUCUCUUCCUGUGCCCAACAAUGACAAAGAAGCCAUCCAAGGUCUUGCCCUCUCUGUCUCAAAGGAAGAGCUGAUGCCGGGUGAGGACAACAAUGCUGGCUGCUAAUAUCUCAAAGACAUAAGAACACCCGAAGCACCUGUCUUACCAUGCUAUCCGCUAAUUAAUUAACGAUGUAUAUUAGUACCACUAGCUAAUCGACAAACUAUGUACUGGAGUACUAUGUAUAUUAAGCAACAAUGCAAGAUAUUACCAGUAACUGAUCUUCCUGUUAUGUGAUGUAAUCCUAUCAACUAUGCAAUCCUGUAGGAAGAUGUAUCAGCAUAAGUGACUAUAGUUAAGUAACAAUGUAUAUUAGUACCACUAGCUAAUUGACAAGCUCUAUGUACUGGAGUAGCAACAAUGCAAGUUGGUACCAGUAACUAAUCUUCCGGUUAGUUGAUGUAAUCCUGGAGGAAGAUAUAUCAG
This is a long non-coding RNA of Lolium rigidum, 2506 nucleotides long. RefSeq lists it as uncharacterized. The transcript is spliced from 5 exons. Lineage: Eukaryota; Viridiplantae; Streptophyta; Magnoliopsida; Poales; Poaceae. The record is from RefSeq and is a predicted model, not a curated record.